This 5696-nucleotide long non-coding RNA is filed under the name Brassica napus (rape). Its description in RNAcentral is "long non-coding RNA (BNAP_LNC022106)". The record is from RNAcentral. Lineage: Eukaryota; Viridiplantae; Streptophyta; Magnoliopsida; Brassicales; Brassicaceae.
CCAGAUUCUAAUGAACCUGGCUCUGAUACCAUAUGAUAUUUAGAGAUCCUUAGAGUAACUAGAAUAUAAGUAAGAGUUUAAGUAGAGAUUAGGAAGAGAUUAUGAAAGAUUAAGAGACUUGAGAGCUGUUUAGUGUCUAAGAGAGAAUCAUGGUGACUUAGGAAAUUAGAGAGAGACUCAGAACUGUAUGAUCUUAUUAAUGAGUGAGGUUACAUAUAUAUAUUGUUCUAGACAUUAGGGUUUUCGAAACACAAGAGUAGAUAAGCAUGUGAGGUCAAGGGAAGAGCCUUUGCUUUUGUUUGAACCGGCCAAUGACUAGCUUCACACGUUCGGGCAUCUUCCUGAUCCUGGUCCAAGAUGCUCUUCCUUUCCAGCCCUUGCCAGCCUGUCCUAGCUGUCAAGCCGCGCCUCCCUUAUCCACUCCAACGUCUGGAUAAGCUUUUGGUCGAGUGUAACUUCACCUCGGUCCAUAAGAGUUACUCGGUGAAGUUACCAUCCUAGUUUUACCUUGGUACGGUCAGUGUACGGAUGGCCCGUCCGUACCAUGCCUUAGUUUACUCUUAACUCCCUUUCCUUUCACUCCUUAGCUUUCUCAUGUCCUUAACUCCUCAAUGCCUUCACAUAUACCUCAACACAUCUCAACACUCCCCCUCAAGCUUAGCUUUAUGAUAGUCUAAGCUUGGACAGCCAUGAGAUCUUCCUCAUUAAAAACCUCACCAAAGAAAACCCAUUGGGACAAAACUUUGAUGAGGGAAAAAGAGUAAAGACCUCAUGACUUAGGGGAUCAGCUCCUUCUCUUCCCAAGAUCUAUGAGUCCCAAUCUAAUGUGAAUGGACUCCAUAGUCUUUUGUCUUGCAGCCUUAGUGAACACAUCAGCCAACUGAUCUUCACUCCGAGUGUAGCAUGGUAAGAUGACUCCUAGGAUGAUCAUCUGCCUCACCUUGUGACAAUCAACUUCAAUGUGCUUGGUUCUCUCAUGAAACACCGAGUUGGAGGCAAUGUGAAUAGCUGCUUGGUUAUCACAAUGCAUUGUCAUAGGUGCGGCUUGAUCAAUCUCCAAAUGCUUCAAGAUGCCUUUGAUCCACACCAGCUCGUUGGUAAUCUUCAGCAUAGCUCUAUACUCAGCUUCAGCACUUGAGCAAGAGACCACCUUCUGCUUCUUACUCUUCCAUGUAACUAAGUUGCCUCCAAUGAAUGUGCAAUAGCCGGUUGUUGAUCUCCUAUCAGCUCUAUCUCCUGCCCAAUCAGCAUCACAAUAGCCCACCACUUCAGUGCUUCCAUUGCACCCCAUCCAGACUCCUUGAUCUGGCGAGCCAUUCAGAUACAUCAGUAGCCUCUCCACCAUGUGCCAAUGAUGUUCCUUGGGAAGCUGCAUAUGUUGACUCACCUGAUUCACAGCAAAACAUAUGUCAGGUCUUGUGAUGGUAAGGUAAAUCAAUUUGCCAACAAGUUUUCUAUAGAGUUUAGGAUCAUGAAAUGGCUUGCUGUCUUCAAUCUCCCCCUCUCUUGGUACUUUGUAGCCAUCCUCCAUAGGCAUCCUUGCUGUCUUGCCUCCAUAAGCACCUGCAUCUUUCAAAAGAUCAAGUGUAUACUUCCUUUGGGACAUGAAUAACCCUUCCUUGGAUCUACAAAUCUCAAUUCCAAGAAAGUAUUUCAUUUCUCCCAAAUCUUUGAUUUCAAACAUGGAUUUGAGAAACUCCUUGGUUGCUUUGAUACCCUCCUUAUCACUACCUGUGAUAAUGAUAUCAUCCACAUACACAAGGAGAGCAACCAUACCUGAGGGUGUAGUGAGGGUGAAGAGUGUGUGAUCUAACUCUGACUUCCUGAAGCCACGUCCAUUCAAAGUUGUGCUCAACUUGUUAUACCACGCUCUUGGUGACUGCUUUAAGCCAUAGAUAGCCUUCUUUAACCUCAGUACAUUCCCUUUCUUCACUAGAUGGUCUAGACCUGGCGGAGGAUACAUGUAGACUUCAUCCUCAAGUUCCCCUUGUAAGAAUGCAUUCUUUACAUCCAUUUGCCACAAUCCCCAUCCAAGAUUAACCGCCAAGCUUAGAACAAUCCUAAUGGUGUGUAGCUUAGCUACAGGGGCAAAUGUCUCAAUGUAAUCCUCCCCAUAUGUCUGAGUGAACCCUCUUGCUACUAAUCUAGUUUUCUUCCUCUCAAUCUGUCCAUCAGCCUUGUAUUUGAUUGUGAAGAUCCAUCUACUAGACACUGCCUUCUUCCCUUUUGGUAGUUCACUCUCAUACCAUGUAUCAUUCUUUAUCAUAGCUCCUGCCUCAGCUCCUACUGAUUCCUUCCAUUCCUUAUCCUUCAUUGCCUCUUCAUAGCUUCUUGGGAUGUGAUUCUCAUCCAAGUUUACCAUGAAAGCACAAUGUGCUUCUGGAUAUUGAGCAAAGGAGCACACGGCUUGAGAAGGAUGCUCCACAGCUUGGGCAUUGUAGUACACUCUCGUGUUUACCCAGCUAGAAGGAUCCUUCUUUAUCCUUGUACUCCUUCUUAGUGGCUGCACAACCGGUUCUUCUUCCUGUGCUUCUUCUACCACUUCGUUUUGAGAAGGUGUUUGUAUCACACCAUGAUCAUGCCCAUGACCAUCAGAACCUAUGCUCUCUUCUCCUUCGUUCUCUACUCCUCCUUCAUCUUGGUUAGCCUCUUGUAUAGGCUCUUCAUGCUCCUCUCCUCCCUCAUGAUCAAGGUGGGAUGGUGAACCAACUUCAGGAGGUGUAGUCGUGUGAUCUCUUGGAUCCUGGGAUGUACUGAUUCUGAGACCUUCAAGGAUGAUCCGCAAGGUGGUGGCCUUGUCUGAUGUUAAGUCCUUCAGGUCUUCUUGAUUCUUUUCUUCAUAGUACCCUCUAUCUUCUAAGAACUUCACGUCUCUAGAUACAAGUACUCUUCUUGCUAUAGGAUCAUAGCACUUGUAUCCUUUCUGUGUAGCUGAGUAUCCUAUGAAUACAGCCUUGGUACUUCUUGCUUCUAGCUUGUUGCGCAUCUCUCCUGGCUUGAGCACAAAGCAUAGACAUCCAAAGACUUUCAAGUAAUCAAGAACUGGCUUGUACUUGUUUAGAACUUCAAAUGGAGCCUUCUCAUUCAGAAUCUUGGUUGGAGUUCUAUUGAUCAAGUAACAAGCAAUGGCAACCGCAUCACUCCAAAAUCUCUUUGGAACGUUACUCUGAAACAUAAGUGACCUUGCCACCUCCAUGAGGUGCCUAUUCUUCCUCUCAGCCACUCCAUUUUGCUGUGGAGUAUACGGACAACUUGUUUGAUGUAGAAUCCCAUAUUGUGAUAAGUGUUUCUUGAAUGCAUUGCUUGUGUACUCUCCUCCAUUAUCUGAUCUCAAAAUUUUAAUCUUAGCAUGAUAAUGGUUAGUCACAUAAGUUUGAAAGUUCCUAAUUGCAUCAAGCACCCUAUCUUUGGUCUGAAUUAAGGUUAACCAGGUGUAUUUGGAUUUUUCAUCAAUGAAUGUGACAAAAUACUUAUAGCUAUCUCUAGAUAAGCAAGGGGCAGUCCACACAUCUGAAUGAACUAGAUCAAAGCAAUUCUCAGAAACGGUAGUAGACUUUUGAAACACAUUCCUACAAUGCUUGCCUAAAAUGCAAGCUUCACAAUUUUUGUUUUCAAACACAACACCUGGUACCAUUAAGUUCAAAGCUUUAACAUGAGGGUGUCCUACUCUAGCAUGCCACAAUGCAUGUUUAUUCAACAAAGAAGCAGAAGUAAACGAGCAACUAUAAUCAGGAACAGAAGUGAGUUCUUCAAGCAUAUAGAGAUCUCCUUUAGUCACUCCUUUCCCAAUCAAUCUACUGCUCUCAAUAUCCUGAAAUUUCACAUCAUUAGGACUAAAGAUAACAUUGCAUUGUAAAUCAUUAGUACAUUUCUUUACAGAUAAUAGGUUUGAUGUGAAUUCAGGCAUGUAAAAAGCUUUAGAUUCUUUGUUAAACAACUUAAGCUUCCCUAUUCCCUUAAUAGGUAUCUUAUCUCCAUUUGCUAUCAUUACAUGCCCAUGAGUAGGUUCUAUAUCCUUAAUCAGUUUCUCAUCACUUAUCAUAUGAUGUGAUGCACCAGAAUCAAUAAUCAAUGGUUUAUCUACUCGUUUAGCAUUAUGACAUAGAUUACUAAGUGAUGGAGACAUCCUAUCAUUUCUAGCAAUGUGUGCAUAUAUAUACUCAUUCCUAGCUUCUAACCGUUCUACUAGUUCUCUAAUCAAGUGAUCAUCCUUAUAUGCAAUCAUAGAGGCUCCAAAGGAAUAACCAUAAGUGUUACCGUUUUCCUUUAGCAUUUUGAAGAGUGCAUCAAGGUCUGAUCUCCUGAUGUAGUCAUUGUUGCUGCAUGAGCUUGAGGCGCCUGUGUAAGCCACCAGAGACUUCCCAUUCCCAUCAUUGCCUCCAUGACCAUCCACCUCACUUGUCUUGAUGGUGCCAGCUCCACUUGAUCCUUCAGUCACAUUUGCCCUUCCCUCACGCUCCUUCAUGAACUUGGCCGGCUUGAGGUGUGGGUGUAGUAUCCAACAUUGGCUCUUCUUAUGACCAUGCUUCUUGCAAUGAUCACAGUUACCAUUGAACUUCCUGUCCUCAUACUUCCCGUGAGAUGCCUUGUUAGCUUGUGGAGCUUCGGUUAAGUCCUCAUGAGCUGCCUGAUUGGCAAGAGAGAGCUCCCCCUUUCCUCCAAACAACCCCAUAGACCCUUGCUCCCUUUGGAUUUGCGCACACACAUCCUCAAGGUCCGGAAGCUUGUCAGCCCUUAACAUGUGCUGGAUGAGUUGAGUGUAGGCCGGGUUCAACGUGAGAAGCAGCCCAAAGACCUUAUCUUGCUCACGCCUCUCAUUCAACUGAUCAGGAUCAGUUGUGCUCGGCCUCAGCAUCUCCAGUUCUGACCAUAAGGACCUGAACCUUCCCAAGUGCUUAGUGAACUCCAUAUCCUCUUGUACUAGACGGUUGAUAGCUUGCUUCACUUCAAACACACGGCUGAGGUUGGAGAUGUUCCCAUACACCUUCUUCAGCGUGUCCCACAGCUCCUUGGCUGAUUCACAGUAGCUGUAGGCAUCCAAGAUAGCUGGAUCCAAGGAUGCGUGUAAAACCGUCAUCACCAGCAUGUCUUCUUGUUGCCAUUUCUCUACAGCCACUUCAUUGGAGACCUCUUCUUGAUCUCCUCCCUGAGUAAUGAGUUUCGGAGCCUCCCCUGUUGUGAUGUGCCCCCACAAACCCUUACUUCCCACCGCAGUCUUCACCAUCCGAGACCACACAAGGUAGUUGUUACCUUUGAAAGUAACCGCUACCUUCAUCCUCAUGUUCAUACCAUGUUCCAUCUUUGCUCAGCUUGACUUGAACAGCUUGAAUCUGAUGAAAUCUUGAGUCUUGAAUCACGUACACACACACUGAACGUAGCACAGCUCAAACACCUUCAAAGCCACUCACGUGUAGCUUCAAAGCCUUCAGCUUGUAACUCUCUAAAGAUCAAACCCCAGAUUCUAAUGAACCUGGCUCUGAUACCAUAUGAUAUUUAGAGAUCCUUAGAGUAACUAGAAUAUAAGUAAGAGUUUAAGUAGAGAUUAGGAAGAGAUUGUGAAAGAUUAAGAGACUUGAGAGCUGUUUAGUGUCUAAGAGAGAAUCAUGGUGACUUAGGAAAUUAGAGAGAGACUCAGAACUGUAUAUCCUUAUUAAUGAGUGAGGUUACAUAUUUAUAUUGUUCUAGACAUUAGGGUU